GUUGACGCCUUAGAUGCAACACCUACCACAAGAAUAAGGUUCGAGUUAAUACAUCUAUAAAAUAAUUAAUAAGCACAUUACAACUAGAAACACGCAUGACACAAUUUGACCAUCACAAAUGUUAAAUUUGGAACGUCCAGAUCAUGAGCAGAUAUGUAAUGGACAAUGUCUCAGCCACGGAAAACACUUAAUAGUACAUAUAAACAACAAUCUCAGAUUCAACAAAUCAACAAAAACUUUCACGUUACUUUUCUCCCCUAUUCCAAACAAUGCAACAUUGCAAGCAGAUUGCAGCGAUACCCAUCAGCAGCAAGUUUCUUCAAAUCCCUAUAAUGCCUCUUUAGUAUACCAGAAAAAAUACAUCUGUUUUAAGCCGGGAAAACAAGCAUCUGAUUUCCAAGUAUAAGGUAUAACAAUAUCAAGGAUUAAGUAAAUACUUGAACAGAUUCAAUGAUAAAAAUAGUC
Molecule: unclassified non-coding RNA, 465 nt
Filed under: Hevea brasiliensis (rubber tree)
Lineage: Eukaryota; Viridiplantae; Streptophyta; Magnoliopsida; Malpighiales; Euphorbiaceae
Source: RNAcentral